Molecule: ribosomal RNA, 253 nt
Filed under: uncultured bacterium
Lineage: Bacteria
Description: partial 16S ribosomal RNA
Rfam family: Bacterial small subunit ribosomal RNA
Source: RNAcentral
UACGGGGGGGGCUAGCGUUGUUCGGAAUUACUGGGCGUAAAGGGCGCGUAGGCGGUCCGCUAAGUUGGAUGUGAAAACUCUGGGCUUAACCCAGAGCCUGCAUUCAAUACUGACAGGCUAGAGUUCUGGAGGGGAUAGCGGAAUUCCUGGUGUAGCGGUGAAAUGCGUAGAUAUCUGGAGGAACACCGGUGGCGAAAGCGACUCACUGGACCGACACUGACGCUGAGGUGCGAAAGCUAGGGUAGCAAACGGG